GGGGAUUUAACCGCUGGGCGGCGUGCUAAUACAUGCAAGUCGAGCGAACUGAUUAGAAGCUUGCUUCUAUGACGUUAGCGGCGGACGGGUGAGUAACACGUGGGCAACCUGCCUGUAAGACUGGGAUAACUUCGGGAAACCGAAGCUAAUACCGGAUAGGAUCUUCUCCUUCAUGGGAGAUGAUUGAAAGAUGGUUUCGGCUAUCACUUACAGAUGGGCCCGCGGUGCAUUAGCUAGUUGGUGAGGUAACGGCUCACCAAGGCAACGAUGCAUAGCCGACCUGAGAGGGUGAUCGGCCACACUGGGACUGAGACACGGCCCAGACUCCUACGGGAGGCAGCAGUAGGGAAUCUUCCGCAAUGGACGAAAGUCUGACGGAGCAACGCCGCGUGAGUGAUGAAGGCUUUCGGGUCGUAAAACUCUGUUGUUAGGGAAGAACAAGUACAAGAGUAACUGCUUGUACCUUGACGGUACCUAACCAGAAAGCCACGGCUAACUACGUGCCAGCAGCCGCGGUAAUACGUAGGUGGCAAGCGUUAUCCGGAAUUAUUGGGCGUAAAGCGCGCGCAGGCGGUUUCUUAAGUCUGAUGUGAAAGCCCACGGCUCAACCGUGGAGGGUCAUUGGAAACUGGGGAACUUGAGUGCAGAAGAGAAAAGCGGAAUUCCACGUGUAGCGGUGAAAUGCGUAGAGAUGUGGAGGAACACCAGUGGCGAAGGCGGCUUUUUGGUCUGUAACUGACGCUGAGGCGCGAAAGCGUGGGGAGCAAACAGGAUUAGAUACCCUGGUAGUCCACGCCGUAAACGAUGAGUGCUAAGUGUUAGAGGGUUUCCGCCCUUUAGUGCUGCAGCUAACGCAUUAAGCACUCCGCCUGGGGAGUACGGUCGCAAGACUGAACUCAAGGAAUUGACGGGGGCCCGCACAAGCGGUGGAGCAUGGGGUUUAAUUCGAAGCAACGCCGAAGAA
Molecule: ribosomal RNA, 964 nt
Filed under: Bacillus sp. DQ71(2010)
Lineage: Bacteria; Bacillati; Bacillota; Bacilli; Caryophanales; Bacillaceae
Description: bacterial SSU rRNA
Rfam family: Bacterial small subunit ribosomal RNA
Source: RNAcentral